This 420-nucleotide ribosomal RNA is filed under the name Simplicillium sp. 6809-S2. RNAcentral's name for it is "eukaryotic LSU rRNA". It matches the Rfam family "Eukaryotic large subunit ribosomal RNA", at positions 151 to 579 of the family's 3401-position model. Lineage: Eukaryota; Fungi; Ascomycota; Sordariomycetes; Hypocreales; Cordycipitaceae. The record is from RNAcentral.
UGCAGAGGAUGCUUUUGGCGAGGUGCAUUCCGAGUUCCCUGGAACGGGACGCCAUAGAGGGUGAGAGCCCCGUCUGGUCGGACACCAAGCCUGGUAAAGCUCCUUGGACGAGUCGAGUAGGUUGGGAAAUCUGCUCUAAAUGGGAGGUAUAUGUCUUCUAAAGCUAAAUAUUGGCCAGAGACCGAUAGCGCACAAGUAGAGGGAUCGAAAGAUGAAAAGCACUUUGAAAAGAGGGUUAAAAAGUACGUGAAAUUGUUGAAAGGGAAGCGCCUAUGACCAGACUUGGGCCCGGUGAAUCAUCCAGCGUUCUCGGUGGUGCACUUUGCCGGGCACAGGCCAGCAUCAGUUUGGCUUGGGGGAAAAAGGCUUAGGGAAUGUAGCUCCUCGGAGUGUUAUAGACCUGUGCAUAAUCCCCUGGGC